AAUCAACGCUGGCGGCGUGCCUCAGACAUGCAAGUCGAACGCGAAAGGCUCCUUCGGGGGCCGAGUAGAGUGGCGCACGGGUGAGUAACACGUAGGUAAUUUGCCUUUGGGUGGGGAAUAACUCAGGGAAACUUGAGCUAAUACCGCAUAAUGCAGCGGCUCGACAUCGAGACAGUUGUUAAAGCGGGGGAUCGCAAGACCUCGCGCCUGAAGAGAAGCCUGCGGCAGAUUAGCUAGUUGGUAGGGUAAUGGCCUACCAAGGCGACGAUCUGUAACCGGCCUGAGAGGGCGGUCGGUCACACUGACACUGACAUACGGGUCAGACUCCUACGGGAGGCAGCAGUCGGGAAUUUUGGGCAAU
This 361-nucleotide ribosomal RNA is filed under the name uncultured bacterium. RNAcentral describes it as "bacterial SSU rRNA". It matches the Rfam family "Bacterial small subunit ribosomal RNA", at positions 32 to 372 of the family's 1533-position model. The record is from RNAcentral.